GACGAACGCUGGCGGCGUGCUUAACACAUGCAAGUCGAGCGGUAAGGCCCUUUCGGGGGUACGACGAGCGGCGAACGGGUGAGUAACACGUGGGUGACCUGCCCUCAGCUCUGGGAUAAGCCUGGGAAACCGGGUCUAAUACUGGAUAUGACUCCAUGACGCAUGUUGUGGGGUGGAAAGCCUUGUGCGGCUGAGGAUGGGCCCGCGGCCUAUCAGCUUGUUGGUGGGGUGAGGCCUACCAAGGCGACGACGGGUAGCCGGCCUGAGAGGGCGACCGGCCACACUGGGACGUGAGACACGGCCCAGACUCCUACGGGAGGCAGCAGUGGGGAAUCUUGCGCAAUGGGCGAAAGCCUGACGCAGCGACGCCGCGUGAGGGAUGACGGCCUCGGUUGUAACCGUACUUCUACGCUCGACGAAGCGAGAGUGACGGUAGGAGCGAGAAGAAGAC
Molecule: ribosomal RNA, 451 nt
Filed under: uncultured bacterium
Lineage: Bacteria
Description: bacterial SSU rRNA
Rfam family: Bacterial small subunit ribosomal RNA
Source: RNAcentral